CUACGGGAGGCAGCAGUGAGGAAUAUUGGUCAAUGGGCGCGAGGCUGAACCAGCCAAGUAGCGUGCAGGACGACGGCCCUACGGGUUGUAAACUGCUUUUGCGGGAGGAUAAAGGACACUACGUGUAGUGUUUUGCAGGUAUCCCGUGAAUAAGGACCGGCUAAUUCCGUGCCAGCAGCCGCGGUAAU
This 188-nucleotide ribosomal RNA is filed under the name uncultured rumen bacterium. RNAcentral's name for it is "partial 16S ribosomal RNA". It matches the Rfam family "Bacterial small subunit ribosomal RNA", at positions 339 to 524 of the family's 1533-position model. The record is from RNAcentral.